Molecule: long non-coding RNA, 488 nt
Organism: Amphiprion ocellaris (clown anemonefish)
Lineage: Eukaryota; Metazoa; Chordata; Actinopteri; Pomacentridae
Source: Ensembl
GGAGCUGGGACUUUAAAAUAACCGCCGUCUCGUUACAGAGUGAAGUAGCAGUCCCUCCUCAAGGUCAGAGAUUGCAGCAUCUGAGGGCCUCUUCAAAAGAAGACGUAGUUGAUGAAGGCAUUCUGGAGCAGGACCAGAAAGACCACGACCAAGCAGCCUUGAGAUCUUAAGCAGCGUCUCCCUGAGUCAAAGGUCCCUCUCUGUCUCCCCACACAUCCACCAACCACUGGAACACAUCUCCAAAGUUCUGCCGGGCCAGAUCAGCUUCCCCUCAGAAGAAGUGGCGCCACCUGCCAGAUGAAGGAGCCUUUUGAGAGGCAGCCGGCAUCGUGAUUGGACUAUACUUUGGUCUGUUCCAAUCCAGCUUCAGCUCCAGAGACGGCAGGCGGGACGAGUCAACAGAGGCCGGGUGGACAAAGACCAAAGAACUACAGACUCUUCACAACCUGCUCAAACACUUGGUACAGGACCUCACCACACGGGUCAAG